Molecule: transfer RNA, 71 nt
Filed under: Geobacillus stearothermophilus
Lineage: Bacteria; Bacillati; Bacillota; Bacilli; Caryophanales; Anoxybacillaceae
Description: tRNA-Cys
Rfam family: tRNA
About the family: Transfer RNA (tRNA) molecules are approximately 80 nucleotides in length. Their secondary structure includes four short double-helical elements and three loops (D, anti-codon, and T loops).
Source: RNAcentral
GGCGGUGUAGCCAAGUGGUAAGGCAAAGGUCUGCAAAACCUUGAUCCUUGGUUCGAAUCCAAGCACCGCCU